Molecule: long non-coding RNA, 1170 nt
Filed under: Equus caballus (horse)
Lineage: Eukaryota; Metazoa; Chordata; Mammalia; Perissodactyla; Equidae
Description: lncRNA (ENSECAG00000051038.1)
Source: RNAcentral
CUCUGAGGGAGUCAGUGUGCUCUCAGAAUCCAGUCCUGUGGGCAAGCAGGAGGCGUAGUCUUUCUUCCCUUCCUUUCCCUAAGCUCACCAAGCUGUUCUUUUGAAACUUAUGACCAUCGCCCCAUCAAACCUUCUUCAACUUAAAGUCCAGGGCUGACCUGGGAGCCCUGCUUUGUUGGUAACGGGGAACACAAAAGCUGAAAAUGCCUGGAAGAGUGUGGCUUCCUGUAGCUGCAGGCCAGAGAUGUAACACCUGGGGCACUGGGUGGACCACAGAAAUAUGUUUGAUGAGAAAACUGCUAUUCUCCAUUUCUCUUCGUUGUUCUGAGCCAGAUUCCUGUCAUACAAGGAAGAAAGACAAACCUCUUCCCACGAGGAGCUUACAGUCAGAUGGAGUAGAGUGAGCCAGACCGGAGGCACGAGGAGUAGUGAGAAGGCUGCUGUGGGAGAGGGCGGAAGAUAUGAAGAGGACUUCCUCACAGAGAAUGCCAGCUCGUAAAGUAGGAGAACUAGCAAAAUCACCAUUUUACAACCCCGAUUAAGGUGAUGCUGGAGAAUUGGGGAAUGAAGUGUCUUGAUAUCGUCAACCUACUUUCAAAUGGCUCCAGAAAAUGUUUAAGAUGUUAAGGAGAGACUGUAACAGGAGUAACUCGCGGACUCUUCCGAUGAUUUCUACUGCCCUUGGAAACCUCCGUAUCACUCCUGCAAUUCCUAACACCUGAUUCUUCUCGUCUCAGAGCAAGAGGGGAGAAGAGCCUUGGCUCAAGGUUGAAGCGGGGCUGGGCAUGUCCUAGGAACACGGCUCCUCCGCGGGGAAUGCGCCUGAGAGCUGGGCUGUCAGUUGGCAGGGAUGUUGUUAUCAGCACUCUGCUGUUCAACUUCACUAUUUGUUCCAAAAAUGGUCAUUGUGAUAACUCAGAAUUAAAUCUCUGGCUGUCCCUUUAACCAUGUGGUUAGCGGCCUGAAUUGCUUAUCCCCAGAGCUGCCUGUGGGUCAUGGGGAGAAAAAACAAGGACAGUGUGUUUCCUUGACUCAGACAAGCUUGCUCCAGGCCAAUGUGGUGACACACUUGUCUCCCUUCCAUUAUCUGGGGCCUGACCCCAGCAUGACACAUUUCCCCGGCCUGAGGCUAGAGGUGUCAGACAGAUCCCGGCUCCAAACAGAAGGUCA